UGGGGAAUAUUGGACAAUGGGGGCAACCCUGAUCCAGCCAUGCCGCGUGAGUGAUGAAGGCCUUAGGGUUGUAAAGCUCUUUCGCCGGUGAAGAUAAUGACGGUAACCGGUAAAGAAGCCCCGGCUAACUUCGUGCCAGCAGCCGCGGUAAUACGGAGGGGACUAGCGUUGUUCGGAAUUACUGGGCGUAAAGCGCGCGUAGGCGGGCUGGUCAGUCAGGGGUGAAAUCCCGGGGCUCAACCCCGGAACUGCCCUUGAUACUGCCAGCCUCGAGUUCUGGAGAGGUGAGUGGAAUUCCGAGUGUAGAGGUGAAAUUCGUAGAUAUUCGGAGGAACACCAGUGGCGAAGGCGGCUCACUGGUCAGACACUGACGCUGAGGUGCGAAAGCGUGGGGAGCAAACAGGAUUAGAUACCCGCGUAGUCC
This 424-nucleotide ribosomal RNA is filed under the name uncultured prokaryote. RNAcentral's name for it is "bacterial SSU rRNA". It matches the Rfam family "Bacterial small subunit ribosomal RNA", at positions 355 to 796 of the family's 1533-position model. The record is from RNAcentral.